GCGGCGGCGGCUGAUGCUUUUAAUGACAGAAUAGUGUGCAGUAGCUCCGUACGAGGACGUCGUUGUUGUCAAAGAAGGAACAACAACGACGGGCUUCACUCCGAUUGGCCCCGAUAGAAGUCGCUCGCUAGUUUCACACCAUCGCUAGCACAAUUGUACAACAGCUAGUAGGUCGAACUUCGAUGAUCACGGAUGGCCAGACUGCGCCAUGCUUACGAUAUUUGUGUUAACAUGAUCAUUAUGACGAUACGGUGAUACGAGUGAUGCCUGCUUAUCGAUUUACGAACAAGUGACGCCGAUAAUUGUGAUGAUGAGUGUCAUGCCGCUAAGCAUAGUUGGCUAACUAGCGAGUGAGUUACUAACAGUUGGUGACGAUGACGGCAGUAGCUUUCCUGUAAAACGACGACAACGGAAACCGCUUUUUGCACCGCACCUAGAACGACUGGAAUUAUAACGACGAGCUCUAAUCCAAUCGCUAUUAUUAUAUAAAGAUAUUCCGUAUAAUUCUAAUUUACGUAGUUCUUGGACAACGACAACAUUGUUAUUGACCUCGCCGCCGCCGCCGCCGCCGCUGCUGCUGCCGCCGCUGCUGCUGCUGCUGCUGCCGCUGCUGCUGCUGCUGCUGCUGCUGCUGCUGCUGCUGCAAGUGGCGAUUUUCUUGCUACGCUUUUUUUGCUAAAUAAUCUUGAGUAGCGUCAAAGUUCAAUCCAGAUGAAUUUUUUUCAAACUAGAGCGUCCACGAGCAAGCGACGGGGGCAGUGUUCUACUUACACUAGGAGAUUGUGGCAUUUGCCAACUUUCGGCUACAACUCUCCGUUCAAUAAAUAGAUACUGUGUCAAUAGUUUGAUGCGAGUGAUACCUUCUAGCAUCUAGUUUGUGACGAUAAUGAGUUACGAUAUUGUGUAUCUCCGUGUAUUGUCAUGCCGUGAUAUACUAUCGCAGGUGCAGUGCUACAGUCCGUCAUUGUUUGUUUCUUAACAAUGGAUAAAGUGGAGCUAGUCCGAGAAAAGCAACUGUUCUGCCACCUAAAUUCGAGCGCUAGAAUGAUGACGGCACCGAAGACGACAAGACUGCAGUCCAGUAUGUCAGAGUUGCUGGAUUCUGGGUCAUGGAAGAGUUCAUUGUGAACGUUAAUUCGGCGCUGGCAGAGGAAAUGCCUGCAGUAUUCUGUUGCUGUGUAUGUAAUGCUACUAUUAAAAGCGAUGAUGAUGUUUAGAUCUCGGCACUGCUGAAAUACACCGUGGUAAACUCCUGUUCAAAAAGGAUGUGAUUUUCCAGAUGAGUGAGUGCGAUUGGCCGGGCUUUGACAACGAAGAAGAGUUCUAUUUACGCACACGGAAGGGAAGCGACCACUGAUACUUAAAUCGAUCAAUGCGCAUAGACUGUAAUUGCGCCACUAUGAAAUUGAAUCUAUAUAACAUGCAUCUCUUAUUAUUUAAUCCAUUUACGGCCACGUCAGCGGCCGUGGGGACUGAUGAGCCCACCAAUACAGCCGGCAGGAUUGGUCGAUCAUCAACGCCUUCGUCACUUUCGAAAUUCGCUCGCCGAUUAUUUUUCUGCCAAUUCUGCGCGUAUAGCUCGCAAAAUCGACAUAACGUCGUACGGCACGAGCGCAGCCACACAGGUUAGCUAGCCUUCACUUUCGUUGAGUGCUUAGAUUUUUCCGCUAAUCGACCGAAUGCUACAAAGUUGUAUCCAAGGUAUGAUCUUUUGGAUAGAUUUUCGAUCAACGUAUGUAUUGCGCUUAACCAUGAUUCUGAUCAUUGGGAUUAUCUCUUUCUGAUUAAUUAUAAUCCACGAUUGUGUCUGUCCGAAAAAGAUGCAUUUGUCAUCGACGUUGCUUUCUACCGACGAUGCUCUAUCUCAACAUGGUAAAUGUAAUAACUUCUAAAAAUAAUUUAGAAAUAUGGCACAGCAAGCAGUCUCGGAUAUAGGUCAAUUGACAUUCGAUAAUAAUAUCAGUAUUCCUUUACUAGAAACAACGUCUUGGCUCUUUUAGCUUUCAAACAUUUCUCCAUUCUCUGAAUGUUCUAUCAGUAUAGCAAUUCUGGCGCAUGGCGGCUAAUCAGAUUUUGGAAGGAAAAUACGCCUAACAUGGAGAGGUCGCGACAGUCGUAUAUAGUUAUUCUCUAAACAUUAGCCAGGUUGACGCUUAGCUGACUGUCAAUCUCGCGCGAUCAUACUCCCUGAACAAUAAUGAGAUCGUUUGAUUUGAUUUGAGUCAUUAUUUUAUACAUGAUUUUGUUUGUUUGCGAAAUGAAAUCCUCUAAUAUGAAGAUCGACCUUUUCAAAAUACUUAUACACAUUGAUCGAAAGCCUGUGCUGAACACAGCUGAACCUGCGAACCCUUCGAAUUUAGAAUCUAACCUUUACUGAAUUUCAAAAUUUGCUAGAGGCCAUUUUUAUCAUUGUGAUCACUAUGUCAUCACUAUGAUUAUCAUUACUAUUCAGUGACUUUCGGCGUGUACACCUCAUAACGUCAACUAGUACACAAGGAAACUAUGCAUGUGCGUAAUAUCACACUCGUCCGCCUACCUUUUUUAAACUUGAGGGGCUGAAGGGGGUAGGAAGAUGAUGCGGUAAUAUGAUGUUCCUGUUUGCCUGUUCAUGCAUGCUCGUGUGGAGUGAUACGGAGACUAUAGUAUUAUCGCCUUUAUCCAUGGUCGCCUCCAGCUGCCAGGAAGGUUCCUUAUACUCUGACUGAGCGCUAUCUGACGAAAUCAUGACAACGACGUGGUAGGCACUUAACGUUGUCUCUUUUCUUCUCCAGAAAGUAAUUUACUGAAAAAUAAGCCAUGUGUAUUCUACUCAAACGGAGGAAAUCCUCCUGCCAAUUUCCAAAUGACAUAGUGGAUUUGCUUUAAGUGUAAUUUCUAACUUGGUACUUCAUUUAAAAUAUUUUGUAAACAAGAUUGCGAAUAAAAUAAUUCCUCAAGCCAUAUGCAGGAAGCGGAUGCCUAAUUGGCGAGGAAUUAAUAGAGCAGUACGCCCGUGUAGAUGAAUUGCCUCUUUUACUUCCAAGGAUCAUCAAGCCUGUGCGAUUGAUAGUUCACUAGCGAGUGCUUCACAACAACAAAGGUUUCUCAAUCAAUCAAUCUCAUUUGAGCAUGGAUGUUCUGCUUAUUCGAUUAACGAAGGGCACUGUUGAAGAGAUACAUAAUGGCGCUCUAAAUGUUAAAGGAUGAGCCAGGCUUCAUUUGACCAGUCGAAAGUUUUGGCUAAAAACGCAGGAUGCCGCUUUCAAUCACAAUACCGGUCUAUUUAGGAAUUGUAAACUCUCAAUAUCAAACCCAAACAACACACUGUUUCUGUAGAAGGUGAUGGACCGAUCGGGUCAACUGUUACGUGUCGGGUGAAAAGCUGCGCUAUCAAGAACGGGCGGCUCGCUAGACGUAAUAUUUGCUUUAAGGUGAUUAAAUGUGGCCAGUAGCGAAGGCACAGGCUACUUAUCCUCUCAGUUGACAUGCUGUCGUCCGUCCAUCUUCACAAAAUGCACCCGCCAUGGGUACUCGUGGUAUCUACGAAAGCCUAAUACAUUUAUACUUCUGCCGAUGAGAAAAUAAUAAGCCUUAUCGUUAAACAACCUGAGUGUGGACGCCCAGAAGAACAAUGAAAAGUUUAAGUAGAUGCGGUUGUAUCACACACCCUAAUGCUGAAUAUAUUUAUUUAUUAAUUAUUUUCCAGAUUUUCCUGUAUACGUAACUUGUUGUUGUGUUAUCUGUGAUAAGGUAUUCCAUCACAACGGAAAGGCAUUCAAAGCCAAAAUUAAAGCGAAUAUUUUUUUGUGUUUUAAAACAAUAUGACUGGAUUAAAUGUACGCCACUUUGAUCGAUGACUUUCUAGCAUUUUGCUAGUAACACCAUAAGCCAAUCGCUGUACAAGGUGAGGGCGGAAAAUUGUGACAAGUUACGUUUGCACCCCUCCAUUGAAAUUCAAUAAACACCGUUGAGUGAGUUAAGCAGAGACCGGGACGGAUAUUAGAUUGACGGUGUAAAACUCGGACUAUAUGGCAGAUGCAGUACAAUUCUCCCGGGUGACUGGUCUGGCAUUGUCAUGUCCGAAAUGACACCGCUUUUGAUAAGUCCCGUUCCGAGGUCCGAAUCAACCAUUUUGCUAAGCGGCCACAGCUCAUAAUGCACGAUUCCUUUCCAGUCACCUUUUUUUGGCGGCAAUCAAAGCUCUGCCGUGGACUGUGAAAUCUUUCCCAAAUUUGACAAUUCUUUUUUUCGCAUAUUAUGGUCAUAUGUAAUCCACGUUUCAUCGUGCGUAAUCAACCGCUUUAGAAAUAUAAUAACAUAAUAUGAAAUAAUGAUGGCUUGGUUUCGUGGCAAUUCUGUACAGUUUCACCGAUGGAAAUGCGAUAGGAAAAAUUGUUUUGCCUCAGUCCGUUUAGCACCCAAACAUCGAACCUUUUUUUAUAGUUGGCUUUUUUCAAAUGGUUUAGAACUAUUCAAUAGCGAAUGUUUAGUUCCAUGGUGAUAUUAUGGUUUCUUCCGUGUUGGUUCCGUUCAACUUUCGGCAUAAUUUCGUUAACUUUUUUCGUAAUCGGUCGACCGGCACCAGGAGCAUCCUUCAAAUCUAGAAUAGAAGCGACAAAAUUACUUUGAGGCCGUUUCUUCCGAUAACACAUCCUGACCACAAACAGCACGAAUUUUUUUAUAUGUGUCUGAAUACCAUUUGUGCUUUUGUUAUAAUAAAAUCGUAAAAUAUAAUAAAUUUUUGCAAAAAUUUCCUUCCUCUUCGAGAUGGUCUACCUUGAGUCUGAGUGAAGGUAUUCUGACAGUUUUACCGCAUCAGAUCUGGGCUUUCAGACGGCACUAAUGCCAAUCCAACGCGAUUCGUACCGCCUGAGAUAUGUCACUUGAAAGCUAUCCAGCUAAAAGUCCCUUUUUUACGUUUGGGAGAUUCUCGCCAAGCGUGGUGUGUCAGUGAAUAAAGGAAUCGCUUGAAGGACGGAUUUUUCAAUCUUGGUCCUUUUGUUUAAAGGGCUACGCUUUCCGAUGUACAAGAAACUCCGACUGAAAAAGUAAAUCAACUUGUUAAUAGGCUGGUUAGACUCACCCCUAGAGUUAUUUAACUAACCAGCAAAUAAUCCGUAUGCAAACACUGUUCGGAGCCAGAACAAUACAUUUUUUUGUUUUUGUCUUACCGCAGUUCUCAAAAUCCGGUAUAUAUGACUAUAAUUGUAAGCUAUCAUUCAUGAAAUCGAAUUUUAUGGGCGAUUCUACGAAGGCUUAAAAAAGUUCGAAUGAAAUAGUUUUUUCGUUUGAAUGAAAUAGAGCUUUCGUUUAUUUAAUUGUGGCUAAGAUAUGAACAUUUCGAAACGCUACGUAACAGCAAUGCAGCCGCUCAUUGGUUAGACACUCUAGGUCCACAGCUAUAGUUUUGUAAAAAUGCCUAUUUAAAACUCCUCAAGCCAAAAGAUUUUUUCUGUUUCGUAACGGACAGAAUAUACUCUACCAGCAGACGACAUGGGUCCAAUAGGAUCCCAAUUGGGUAAAUGUUAAACGAAGGGCUAUGUGAUUAGUGAUACCGUUCACUCCGUUGUAGACGUCAACUUUUUUUAUAUGAAAUACUGUGUAUGUUUAGCUCUUGUAAAAGAAUGGUCAAUUGUCAAACUCAUGAUGGUGUUAGAUAUUUUAUCGCUGUAAAUAGUUUUUUUGGUCGUGUUGGAUAAAUCUCGAAGAGCACUUUGCCUUAUCGUAACAAGUGUGAUAUUAGCUCUUUUUUUAUUCCAAAUUCUAGAAGGCAUUGUGACUAUAUUUGUUUUGUUUUUCUGAUUGUCAGUAACUGCGAAGGACAACAGUGAUAAUGAUAAGAUUUGCAUUAAAAUAGGAAAAGCUUGGCCUAUAUCGCCAUGCUAUUAUGGAUAUGAUUUUAAAGAACCAUUACGAGUUACAAUAAAGCUGCCUCCUACAUAACAAAUGCAGCAUAAUGAGCGUGUUAACGAACAGUUCGUCUAGCUGUCGUAAAUCCUUUUCCUGUCUAAAUUUCUUUAGUUUGUAUAGAUUCUAAUUUGUUGUAAUGAUAAAUACGCUACAAAAUUGUGUGUCCCAUAUUUACGCUUAUCGAUUUAUGCUGAAUUGCCUUACCCUGACCCGAACAACAAAGUUCUACUAAUCUGUCCACCAAAAAGACAAAGUGAUAGCGACCCAAUUUUACGCAAUAAGCGAAAAAAGUUUUCAACAACUAUGAGCUAACAGUUGGUGACAACACCUAACCGGCCCAAAAAUAUAUUCAAUAAGUGAGCUAUAACGCGCAAUGGCCAUAUAUAUAUAACACUUUUUCCAGGUGAAAAGCCAUUUAAAUGCAAAAUCUGUGGGCGAGGAUUCGGCGAUAGCUCAAAUCUGCGCCAACAUGAGCGCACGUGUCAGUCAAGAAAAGAAAAGGGAUUCAUCUCGUGAUAAGCUGUCCUAGUGCAGAAUCCUGCGGAAUCAUACUGCGCUCAGACAUCUUAAAACCUGGUAGGAGUCUUCCAUCCGGAUAACUCCCUGCUAAGCGAUCACUGGAUCUUUCACCGAAAAUGGGUUUGGUCGCGAUUCCUUGUCGCACCGAUCACUGUGGCGUGGUGUGCGUCUAUUCCAACUUCUGAUCUUUGAUGGCAGCUUUCUAUCAGUCCAAAGUGCAGACAUCACGCCCACUCAGAGGUGGUACGAUGCGUGACUGGUGCAGUAGUAUUUUUAUCCUGGAAAACCUUCUACGCACACUUUCGUGAACAUGGUAUCUGCUACAGGUGGAAGAAAUAGAAGCUCCAAGUGGGACACACCUAUUUGUGGGUACAGCAAACAUCAUUGGAAAGAAUACAUAUAUCCAGGGCUCGUUUAUACACGCGUUACCCUUUCGAUAUAUUUAGUUUGUCCAGGCAAACGGAUAAGUGUAUAUUGCUAUGGAGAUUUUGCAGAUCAGGACGUAGAAAUUGGACUCAUUUGCCGUGUCUUGUGUAUGAGCAUCGGCUCGAGGUUGUAUCAAUCUAAUCUGUUACGAUCAAUGAUAGUAGUGCACUCUGUUUGAGAACCUUAAACGCAAGUUCACCUUAUACUCUCAUGACAGUGCUUCAUCGGGCUAUUACCGGAGUCGUCUGCUCGCACGCACAAACAUAAGCAGUCGCACUAGCGGUGGUCUGGUCGGGCAAAUGUCCGUGGGUCGGGCAUACGCAGAACGCGAGGUCAGUCGGUAGAUCGCAGUGACCUAAUGAUCAGUAUGCCACAAGGCAUGAGUCUGAGCCUCUGUAUAGGACUGAUCGGAUCAAAUCUCUGGAAGCUCACUAAAAAGUGUCUAAAUAAAACACAAUCCUUUUAAUAGAUAGACAAAAUAUCUGAGGUCGUCAGUGUUAUUCAACAAUAACUGGCUUUAUCACCUCACGAUUGCGCUGUUUGAAAUUGACAAAAGAUGUAGCUGUACUCACAAACUAAACUGUUCACGAGAGUCUCAAAUGUAAGUCAACAUAACGUCAUGACAUGUACUAGUGAGCGAGUCAACAGGGAUUCUUGUAAAACUAUAGAUAAGGCAAUAGGAAUCGAUUGCGGUGGUCACAGUAGCCACUGUAGUGAAUGGUAUUCCCAGAUUCUUGUGGAUUAAAUAUGCAUUUAGCUAUAAAUAUCAAGAUAGACCCUAAUUAUGUUUUGGUUGUUAACUAAAUAAUAACCGUUUUUGUUUAUUGCCUUCCUUUUCUAAUGCUUCAUUUGUUCAUAGUAGCUUCUCUGUUUCGAUAUAACACUGCGGUGAUCGUUUAGUUCAGAUGAUAAAGUUCUGGGGGAGCCCAAACGUGCGGAUGUCGGGUAGCGUUCGUGUAACAUUUCGACACUCGUUGUCUGCCCUCUAGGAGAUGAAAAGGAUCAAAACAGCUGUCGAAACAACUUCGAAUAGACCUGAUAUGUACGAUAAAGAUCUUCUCUCUUACUUACCUACUUACUAAAUUUGAAAGUAAAAUUCAACAGGCACUGCGGUGAGCUAGCCUUGAAGGGGAAGGAUCACUAUAUGCUUAGCAAAAGAGUCCUAUCUACACGCAAAACAGGGCAUAUGUUUGGUGGACGCUGUGUUGCAAAUUCAUUUAUUUUCCAUGCGUCUUCGGAGCCCGAGAUCAACAGGACAUACUGCUAUCCGAACAAAACGAUCUCAAUAGAGCUGAAAAGCCUUAGCAUACAAAUCUACUACUAAUAACAAGGACACAUUAAAAACGGGAAGGCAGUCAACAAAAAAGGGCAUUACUUACUUAACCACCAAUUACCAUUAGGCGAUGUUCUUGUAAACCUGUUGAUUAUCUCCGUUCCUCCGAGACCUAUCACACAACUAGUCAGUGAUUGAAGAGAUACUGUCUCAUGCUUUUGAGUUAGUUAGACGAAAAUAAGUAAAUUGGUGUCUUUCUUAAAGACGAGUUUGUAAUUGUAUGUAGAUAGUUCAAAGCCUACAAUUUACCUGUCAUUUAUUCGAUAAAAUAUUCCGCGCAAUCGUCACACGCAUUUGUCAUACAAUAUUGUGCUAAAUUAGGUCUAUGUAGAUAUAGGAAAUGUCGCAAGUGCUUUCACACGAGAGUAUGAGUCUCAGCCGGGAGGUUAUUUAUACAUGACAUCGUUGCUAUUGCUAUAUAUAUGAGACGGUAACGACAGCAGUAACUACAGCAAUACUUUACGCAUUGUCCUAUCGAUUAUCAUUGAAAAGGUCUAUCUAAAUGUUUCCGUUUGACACGCAGACAAAUACUUUUGCAGCAAAUCAAAUUACGCAGCCUGUUAACGGUAACGUCUGUUAGAGCAAAAAGCCUGUAGCCACUGUUGGUCAAACGAGUUUUGCAAUACCCUAGUGUGGGUUUCAUGUAUAGGGUGAGUCAAAGCCAGCUAGCACUGUAGUUUUCUUGAAAAAAAAACACCCAUGUCUAGUGAUUUAUUCUGUUCCAAUCUAGAUACUACGAGGUUAAUGCUGAAAGUUUCCGGGCAAAGAAGCCAUGUCAAUCGUUCGUCUCAUCUCUAACCCUAUUGGCAUAAGUAGGCAGCUAUUAGCGGGUUGUACAUUCCUGGUUGUCGGUGAACGGAAGCUUCAUUAAAGCACAGGAAGGAUUUAUAAGGGUCUAUAUAGGAAAAUAGAACUCUUGGAGUUGCUUCAAUGGCUGGUACCAGAAACGCAUUCUUGCUUUGAGCGGUUGCAUUUCUUCGAAGAAACGAACGUCUUGGCUCACCUUAUUGACCUUAUACACGUGUACCUUCUUGAACGAUGUCGUCCAAGUCAAAAAAUCAUGCAGUAGGUAGAAGAGAUUGUACGUAGCAAACACCAAAGAAAACUAGAUACUAUUAAUAAUGACAAUUAUCUCUUACACAUGGAUGUAGACCUUGGUACAUUUUUCGCAAUGAUCACGCCACUACUCGCAGUAGCUAUGCAACAACCAAAAGCAACGAUUUGAUACUACUUUUACGGUGGCAGAUCCUGGAUGAGGCGGAACUAUGCCGCAAGAACGAACUAUCCCGCGACGCUAGGAGCUGUUAGAGUUUUUGAAAAAAAAAAUAUUUAUCAAUCACAUCUUUCAGCAGUACGCUCCCUUAUUAGGUCGGGCGUCCUUGCAUUGAGUGGUUCAUCAGUGAACUGAAAAUAGAUUCGUUUAUCUCUUUGAGACAUUUCAUUUUAUGCAUGUCUCAGUCAGUAAACAUGAAACAGUGAUAUUUAGUAUCGGUAAACGCGUCCAAGUUGUUUGCUAUACGUAUAUAUAUAUAUAUAUAUAUAUAUAUAUAUAUAAUAGUAACAUACGCAUUAUUGGGCUUCUAUUAUGUAUCGCUCUUGAAUCAAAAUUGAAUGGUCUCGUAUUGGUACGGUGCGACCCGUGGCGAUGCAAGGCGGUUAAUCGGCGCCAUUGCCGAUUACUUAACUAGUCUUUGAUAUAUGACUGAACCCAGCAUCACUUUAACUCAAUGCUGGUGCAAUUGGCUCUUGCUGGCUGUAGUUUUUUUGUUGAUCUUAUCAUAUUCUGUACGACAGAACUAGUUUCAAUUGCGUAGCUUGUUUGAGCAUCGAAAUCAACUGCUUUCGGUCACUGCGAUGAUAGCCGUAGUGAAUCAUUAGCAUCCUUCUAUCGCCUGCGUACCCCUCGGUAACGAGAGUACCGCUAUAUUACAUACACGUAAUUUUUCUUAAACGAACGUUUUCUGAACUAAUGUUUUACCCAAUUAUAAUAGUUCACGCAACCGGACGGUCGUUUCCGGUCGACUUCAUUCAAUUACCAUUUGUGUUCGCCAAUCAUCAGCGACCUUUCGGCUUCUGUUGUUUGUAUUGCGUCGGUCAGAAAGCAGUUCCGCCCUUAAAUCAAUUUGAGAGUGGUCAAGUCUGAAAAGGACUAACUCUCUUAAAGGGAGUAAUGCCUUUUGGUGGUCCGUUUAGAAAACAGGCAGAUUCCUCCAGAAGACGAUUCAUUUCCCUACUCCUAUCAUUUGCUUUCGAUUGGUCAUUCGCCAAAGCGAGCUGCGUAGAUCCGAACAGUUAUAAUCCGAUCGAGCAAUGUCUAGGAUAAGAACAGGGCGCGAAGACGUUCAUCGAAAAGCCGUCAGAAUUUUCUAAUCUUCCAAAUCGUUAUGAAGUCAGAUGUUUUUAUUGCGAACUUCUUCGAUUCUCCUGGGCCUUUGCAUUGUCGAGAAAUUUUUGACCACGCGUGAGGCAAACUGCAUUGUGAAUUGAUCACCAUUUUGCUGUUAUGCCCUCUCAGAUUCCAUUAAAUCCUACGAGGAGCUAAAAGAUUUAUGUUUUAUUUCCAAUGCUCACGUUGUGUAGAGGAAUUUUUCUUAUGGCGUGAGCAAUCGUACCGAACUAGUCGAGCGGCUGACAGUAGUAUAGGGGAUUUACAUCAUUACUUUUCAUAGUAUUCUGUAAUCCGUGUAGGCAAUUGUCUUGCAACUGACUUCUAUCUACACAGAGAGCUGUUUAGGUUAAUGGAUAGAACUUUAACGUACGACCAUACUUUGAUUCUCUGAACGAAACUUAUGCGAUCGUCUCGAUCAUUAUCGAUUCUCUAACAGGUGUUAAAUCCAGUUUAGCGAAAUAGUUUCCGCUUGAAAAUUAACAGCAAAAUGAGGUUCCGUUUUAGAUACGAAACUUCAAAAUCAGUUUUCACGUAUUUCCACUACUAGGGGCUGAUUCGUAUGCGCUUCAAUAGGCCUGAUGUAGAAAUGCAAAGAUGUUUAUGUUAGCUAAAUGAUAUCAAAAGACUGUCUCUAUUUUAGAGGUAAGAAGGGGAUUGGCGCAUGCCAAAUUUUAAUAUUUUCAGGCAACGGUAAAUUGACUCUAAGGUUCCUAUAGUAAAUACAUUAUUAUUAUUUUUAUUUCGUUUUCAAUUAAUCAAACAAAAAAACUGUUUCGCAAAAAUAAGCUUUGUUUCCUAACAAAUUCAGAUAACUAAAUAAGCUUCAUAUUAUAAAUUCAUGCUAUGCUCAUAUAAUUAUGUUACCAAUCUCCAUGCUGUUGUUUUAAGCGAGGUCUACAGUUACUUUAGCUAGAAAGUAAAACUUAUAAUGAUCGGCCUUGCCUGCCAAUACAAUAUUAAACUAACAUAAUAAUCCACUUCUUCUAACAUACGUCUCAUGGCAAACCUAAAGCAAUAAUUGCAAAAAAAUGGCAGAAUUCGUAUUCGGUUUUUUACCAUAGUAGAAUAUGUGAGCACGUCUUAGAUAUGAGCAUGAUACAAUUACUUCAGUUUAUCCUGCGAGAACAUUUAAUAUAUACAUAAAGGUCUAGUAUGCAUCCAAUUUAAAAUAUACCGUUUGUGUAUCGUUCCUCACGAUUUCUCCAAGGAUUUUCCUCCACUGAUCAUUUUAGGCUUUACAUGAAAUUUUGGGUAAUAGAAAAAAUACCCCACCGAUUUCUAUUGUAUCGUUCUUUUCCAUAUUUCUCAUACAAGUGACAACUAACCAUUCAACUAAUAUAUAUAUAUAUAUAUAUAAACUGAAUUAUUUGAUAAUAAUCAAGAAUGCAGCCAUGUAACACAUAAUAUACCCUGUUUACUGUUACUGCUACCUUUUACUGACCAAGAUGAAUUUUUUCCACAUAUAUAUGUGUAUAUAUAUGUGCGUGUAUGUUGGGUGUGUAUGACGAGUGAGUAAGUGAGUGAGAGAGGAUUCUUACACCUUUUUUUUAACAUCAUUUUGUGAUGAAGCGGGUUACUGUUAAUAUUUCGUACAUUUGUUGUUGUCGUCGUCUAGAGAUAGGAUGAGGAUUCGAUUUUGCAGUCUUCCAAAGCAUCUUUUAAUAGCAUCAAUAAUUUGGCCCGGUAUCUAGAACUUACUAAACAACAUUGUAAAUUGCAAAGUUUUCAACACAGCGGUUGGUAGAGUACAACUAUAUCCUUAUGCUCUUUGUAAGCCUACCAUAAAAGUUCAAAGGUUGAAAUGCCUGGCAGUUUCUUUUAGACCGCUUAACCUUCGAAUUAGUUUAAAAAAAACAGAGAUUUUUCGUCGUAGAGUAUAAGAACUCUAAAUUACAGUUGCUGAUGAAAUGUUAUCGAAAUAGCAUCUCAUUAUUUGAAGUUUUACAGACAAACACGCAAUGCGUUCAUUUUAGGAAAAGUAGAUUGCAACAUAAUUAUAACAAUCGAUUGUUCACUGGUGGCAACCUAAAAUCUGGUAAAUCAAUCGACAGGUCUCAAUGUCCUUUAGGUUUACAAUAUUACUACGUAGCCGGAACCGUUGCACCAAGCGCAAACGAUCGAUCCCCAAAUAGAAGUAUUCGGGGACCGAUCGCUUAUAUAUGGCGGGUACUGGUUGUUGACGACCCCUCGUAUUUCCAAUACAUAUUAUACCCUUACGUAUAUAUCUUGAGCCGACAGAAAUUUAUUUGUGUUUGUUCGGGGACUGAACAAACGUUUAUUUAUUUUACUCAAAACCACUUCAUAUCAAAUAGUGUUCUUUGCAUAGAUGCUAGGUACGCCGCCCUUAUGAUGAUGCGUAGUAAAAACUUCACAUGAGCGUGUAUUUGUGUACUGUUAAAAACCUCACUACGUUCGAAGCUCUAAACAUGUGAGAAAUUCAGUCAAUUAUUGUAAAACUAGCUAAUUUUUAUUUCGAUGAACAGUUUCUGAGAAGCUGCUUUAGAGUAAUGACUGUUCAAGCAGCGGACUCGAUACCAAUUUAAAAGCUGCUCUUUCAAAAUUGAUUUUCAACUAAAUGAUAAUAAUAUGCACAGAUUCAUACGAUGUCGCUAAGUGACGAAGUAGCCAUUAUCACGAGGCGGGCUCAAGUAAUUCCAGCUGCUCUAGAAGCAUGUAGCGUUUAUAUUCCGUUUAAAAAAUCUGUGUAUAGAAAAAUGUAUUGCUUUGGGGGAAAACGAGUCGAAGUUCAGGGAGGCACUGAGUUCGAACUCGUCUAGUUGCAACCAGACUAGCUUUAAAUACCUUUAGUCAUUGAGUGUUUAUAGCGAUUACUUUAAAUAACCUGUCUGCAAUAAAUGACUAAGGAAAAGCUUUUCACAUCAUGAUUGUCAAAUAUAUGAAUAGAAACUAAUAUAUACAAUUAUCAGUUGAUAAUG
Varroa destructor (honeybee mite) is the source of this 13492-nucleotide long non-coding RNA. Lineage: Eukaryota; Metazoa; Arthropoda; Arachnida; Mesostigmata; Varroidae. The record is from RefSeq and is a predicted model, not a curated record.